This 178-nucleotide ribosomal RNA is filed under the name Ascaris suum (pig roundworm). It matches the Rfam family "Eukaryotic small subunit ribosomal RNA", at positions 1243 to 1443 of the family's 1831-position model. The record is from RNAcentral. Lineage: Eukaryota; Metazoa; Nematoda; Chromadorea; Rhabditida; Ascarididae.
ACAGAUUGAGAGCUCUUUCUUGAUUCGGUGGUUGGUNNUGCAUGGCCGUUCUUAGUUGGUGGAGUGAUUUGUCUGGUUUAUUCCGAUAACGAGCGAGACUCUAGCCUAUUAAAUAGUCAUCGGAUAAACAAGUCCGGAAGACUUCUUAGAGGGACAAGCGGUAUUCAGCCGCAUGAAG